Talpa occidentalis (Iberian mole) is the source of this 2013-nucleotide long non-coding RNA. RefSeq lists it as uncharacterized. The transcript has 3 exons. The record is from RefSeq and is a predicted model, not a curated record. NCBI's taxonomy places the organism in Eukaryota, Metazoa, Chordata, Mammalia, Eulipotyphla, Talpidae.
CUCAGCUUGGAAUAAUUUGCCAGGGCGGCUCACAGAAUCUAGCCUAGUUCCCACCACCCCAGGGGAUGUGGUGCAGGGUACAGAUGAACAGCCAGGUGAAGAGGGACACAGGGUGAGGCCUUGGAAGGGCCCCAUGGACACGGCUCCUGUCCUCACGGAGUUGAGGCGCGUCAGCCUGGAAGUUCUCCAAACCUCUCUGGAGGGAGAGGACUAACCUCCACCCAGGUGCCCACAUAGAAGUACCUCAUUGCAACAAAAGACAAACUCAUGUACUUAUCAAAUCUCUGACUUAAGAAGCAGGACUCUGGGGGCAUCUUCCUGUCUGAGGCCCUGAGUACUGCUGCUAUUGAGAGGAGAAAGGGAGAACUUUCUACAUCGGGGUCCUGGCACCCAGCUCAGGAUCCGGCACCCAAUGGGGGUUCAAGCAAGCUCAGCCUUGGGAGCUGUGUGGACCAGGGCUUCCGGCCCAGCUCAACCACGGAGUGACGUGGGCCGAGGCUCACCCUCUCCGGCCUCCCGCUCCCCAUCUGAGCUGCAUGGCUUCGGCUUCCUGUCACUUGCCCACUCGCUCGCCAAACAUGUCAGCUCAGCGAAGACGUGCAGCUUGCGCCUUGUCUAGAACUAAAGGAAGUUGGCAAAGGUGAUGGGGGCUGGGGGGUCACUCUCUGCUGAAGUUACAUUGCACAAGGCUCCCUCUUACUGCAUGGCUCCCCCCUCUCCUCAUUGUACAGGCCCUCCAGCCUGGAGAGAGCCCCCCUUGAUAUCUCUAUGUACUAAGUUGCAGGCCCUGGGCAGGCAGCUCCCAGCUGGCGGGGCUCAGUGGCACAGCCCAGGAAAUGAAAGCGACUGACGGCAGCAAGAACUUGGAAGGUGGGUUCUGCCCGCUUCAAGGCCCCAGAUGGGAACACGGCCUGGCCCAGGCUCAAUAGCAGCCUGUGAGCCCCUAAGCGGGGCAGCUAAACCGUGUCUGGAUUUGUAAUCCACAAACUGUGAGGUGACGCUAGUGUGUAUUUUAAACUGCUAAAGUAGUAGUAACUGGUUACACAAUGAUUAGAAAAUGAAUACCAUGAAAAUGAAGUCGGGAUCCGUGAGCAAACCCCAGCCUCCCGGCUUCGCAGUCUAGGGCAGGAAGGCGGAACGAUCCCACAUUCAGUGGCGAACUAGUGAUAAACAAUGUUUCACUCGUUAUCAAAGUACCUGAGACUGUGGAAAGGGAAGGAAUGUGCCUUGUCUAGGCCGGGGAGAGGGGGUGGGUCAGAGAAAGCUUCCCUGAGAAAACGGUAUUUGAGCCAGAGCUGAGUGAUGAGGUACAGAUAACAAGGGCGAGGAGCAACCUUUCCGGGAGUGUGCCUGGAGCCUUCCCUAGCGCUACACCUGUAGCUCAUUCAAGAUGCGAAACACCUGUUGUGAUUAUCCCCAUUUGUGAGUGGAGAAGGAGGUACCGAAUAGUUCAGAACUGGCCCAAGUCCCAGGACUACCAAGUAAGAGGGGAGCAAGGGGGGAGGUAGGGACGCAAACCCAGGGCUUUACAGUCAGAGCCUGUGCUGCCCAGCCCGCCAGGCACAGGGACGGCAGGCACAAGGCCCCGGGCAGAGGAGAACCAAGAGGCCAAGCAGCUGAAGGGGCUGCUGGGGUGGGAGAGAGGCCGGAGGGCAGGGGCCCGGGGUGGUCCUCAGGGUCCUGCUCAGCGUCCAUGUGCAAAACUGACAGGCCUCCCCACAUAGGCGGCCAAACAGGGAUCCCACCUUAGAGAUUUCAUCUCCGUUUCUGACCUGAACACAUCAGUCCGGGGGCUGGUAACACGAAGAAAUUGUGGAUUCUUCAUCUUGCCAAGGAAGGUUCUGGCCCUCAACUUCUGGCUUGGGAGUUGCUAAACCUUGUUUGUCCCGGGCCUCCCCUGGUGGCGCAGCGGUUGAGCGCUGGGCUGCGACGCUGCCCGCAGCCUCUGCAGCGUUUGUUCGAUCCCUGGCUGCUCCCCGGCCACCGGAGGAGGGUCCCACAUGGCGCUCAGAC